Molecule: long non-coding RNA, 1104 nt
Organism: Culex quinquefasciatus (southern house mosquito)
Lineage: Eukaryota; Metazoa; Arthropoda; Insecta; Diptera; Culicidae
Exons: 2
Source: RefSeq, a predicted model, not a curated record
AUUCGACGUCGUUAGCAUCGAACCUCUUUUAGCUGUGUUGCGAAAACUUGGGAUAAAUGGUGUCUACCUUGAAUGGAUACGUUCAUACUUGUCGCACCGGGUACAAUACGUCAAACUCAAUGGCACGACUACAGAACCAUUCUUUGUUGAAUCGGGAGUAACGCAGGGUAGUCAUGUAGGUCCGUUACUAUUUAUCUGCGUAAUGAACGAACUACCAGGAUACAUUGAUAAUGCUCACAUUCUGAUUUAUGCUGACGACGUGAAGCUAUUUGUUCCAUACGUAUGGAUUAAAAGUGAACAAAUCAAAAUGCAAAAUCAUAACAUACACCCGGAAACUGAACUGGAUUAACUUCGAGUAUCAAAUGGAGGAUGUUGUCAUUGAGAGAGUCAGCAGCACAUGCGACCUUGGAGUUGAAAUGGAUAGUAAACUCAUGUACACCGAUCACAUCGACAAGGUAGUUUCGAAGGCAAAUUCAUUAUUUGGGAUGAUCAAACGGCUUUGCUAUGAACUUGACGAUCCCUACACAAUCAUGGCCAUUUAUAAGAGCAUAGUAAGAAGCGGAAUAGAGUAUGCAAACAUAGUAUGGAAGCCGAUCUAUGAUAUACACCGGAAUCGCUUGGAGAACGUACAGAAAAAGUUCGUGAUGUAUGCUGUUCGCAAUCUACCUUGGAGGAAUAUGUUCCAGACUAUAGAGACAUAUGUAUGCUUUUGGCGAUGGACACACUGAGCAGCAGAAGAAAUCUAACGGACGUAUUCUUCCUAAAGGAUCUUCUCGAUGGUAAAUAUUACUCACCAUACUUACUAUUGCAGGUUACUAGGUACACGGGGCGGACUGGUUUGAGACGGGACCGUCAAUUCCAUAUUGCUAACAGAGUACAAAAUUACGCAAGGAAUGAACCAAUCUAUCGUAUGAUGAAAUUUAUUAAUGACAAUCGUGAGAAGAUAAACACAGCCAUGUCUAAGGAAAAAAUCAAGUACGAAGUAAUGAGAUUGUGAUUACAUGUUUUAUGUUAUUUCGACUUUUUUUGAGUGUGACUAGAAUGUAUUAGAAUUAAGUUUGAUAACGGGCAUGACCCAAGAUCAAUAAACAACAACAAAUGAAA